This 264-nucleotide long non-coding RNA is filed under the name Phoenix dactylifera (date palm). Its description in RNAcentral is "long non-coding RNA (PDAC_LNC020005)". Lineage: Eukaryota; Viridiplantae; Streptophyta; Magnoliopsida; Arecales; Arecaceae. The record is from RNAcentral.
CUCUCCCUGACCGCCGGUUCAUUCGGUAAUAAAUGCACUUACCAUCCACGGACCCCAGGCCCACCACAGCCGGCGGUUCAACCACUCCAACAGGUCCGAUCGACCGUGACAACUCCCUGAUUCCGGUCUGAUCCGGUCCCGUUCUCCAUUACGCCAUUAAUGGGCCAAAUCGUGCCCAAUUAUUACAAAACAGGACAAACCUCCUGUCACCUCCCAGGUAACAAAAAUCCUCCUAUAAAAGGAAACCUGGGGGGAAAAGGGAGG